GACGAACGCUGGCGGCGUGCUUAACACAUGCAAGUCGAACGGAAAGGCCCUGCUUUUGUGGGGUGCUCGAGUGGCGAACGGGUGAGUAACACGUGAGUAACCUGCCCUUGACUUUGGGAUAACUUCAGGAAACUGGGGCUACUACCGGAUAGGAGCUCCUGCUGCAUGGUGGGGGUUGGAAAGUUUCGGCGGUUGGGGAUGGACUCGCGGCUUAUCAGCUUGUUGGUGGGGUAGUGGCUUACCAAGGCUUUGACGGGUAGCCGGCCUGAGAGGGUGACCGGCCACAAUGGGACUGAGAAAGGGCCCAGACUCCUACGGGAGGCAGCAGUGGGGAAUAUGGAAAAAUGGGGGGAAGACGGAUGCAGGAAAGCCGCGUGCGGGAUGACGGCCUUCGGGUUGUAAACCGAUUUCGCCUGUGACGAAGAGUGAGUGGCGGUAAUGGGUAAAGAAGCACCGGCUAACUACGUG
RNAcentral lists this ribosomal RNA (468 nucleotides) under uncultured bacterium. RNAcentral describes it as "partial 16S ribosomal RNA". It matches the Rfam family "Bacterial small subunit ribosomal RNA", at positions 28 to 507 of the family's 1533-position model. The record is from RNAcentral.